Molecule: non-coding RNA, 72 nt
Organism: Candidatus Woesebacteria bacterium RBG_16_36_11
Lineage: Bacteria; Candidatus Woeseibacteriota
Source: Rfam
GGCUGCGUAGCUCAGUGGUAGAGCAGACGUUUCAUAAGCGUAAGAUCAGAGGUUCGAUCCCUCUCGCAGCCA